Molecule: long non-coding RNA, 675 nt
Organism: Passer montanus (Eurasian tree sparrow)
Lineage: Eukaryota; Metazoa; Chordata; Aves; Passeriformes; Passeridae
Exons: 6
Source: RefSeq, a predicted model, not a curated record
GUCAGGGGGAUCGGGCAGGAGGCUCAGGAGCCCCGACAGGGUGACGGCCGUGGGCAGGGUUGGACAGGUGGCUCAGGCAGGGAGGCAGAGAAGCCGGCAGGGCGCUGGUCAGGGACAGACGGGAGGGCGAGCGAGAGCCGGCGAGGCAGCGGAGCCGAAAGCUCGUGGCUCUGUGUGGAGUUCUCCUUCAGUGAUUUUGCACAUCUACAGCUUCUGUGGUUGUGGGUGCAAAUCUCACAAGCAGAGAAAAUUGGUGUGUUCCUGUGCCUGAGGACAUCAUGUGGGAAGUGCAAAGCAGUUUUUGCUGGUCUACGGUUCAUUAAAAAAUAAAAAUAAAAUUAAAAAGCAGCUUGCCAUUAGUGGGUCAUCUGAUGCUGUAACUGUGUGCUGGUCCCCAGCUUCCAGUAUGUUGAAGGUGUAAGAGCAUUGGAAGAAACCUGAAGAGUUUUGGACAUCUGUCAGGAAACAAGUGGCCCCUGGGAGCUGGGCAGGAAGAACCCCUUGUUUCCAGAGAAGGAAUCACCUCAAGCUGUUCUAGACCUCCAGGAAUGAUAACUUUUAUUCUCCAUUUUAGACUGAGCUGAAAUAACCCUCUUUAAGGGAGUAUUUGGCCAGUAAUGCAGGCUUGCCUCUGAGGGCAAAUCCUCUGAAUGAGCUGCAGAUCACAACACCCAG